Molecule: ribosomal RNA, 811 nt
Filed under: Leptodactylus bolivianus (Bolivian white-lipped frog)
Lineage: Eukaryota; Metazoa; Chordata; Amphibia; Anura; Leptodactylidae
Description: partial 16S ribosomal RNA
Rfam family: Bacterial large subunit ribosomal RNA
Source: RNAcentral
AGGAUAAUUUAAUACCAAUAAUUUUUAUGAGCCCCACUUUCGUAUCAAGCAAUUCUAUAUAGUUAUAGAAAUUUUUAUGUUAAAACUAGUAACAAGAAGAAAACCUUCUCCUAAUGCAAGCGUAAAUCAGGAAGGAUAUACCACUGAUAAUUAACAUCCCUGAACCCACAGUAGCAACCACACAAGAAAACUCUACCACAUUCUAUGUUAACCUAACACAAGAGCAUUACAGGAAAGAUUAAAAGAGAAAGAAGGAACUCGGCAAACUUUAACCCCGCCUGUUUACCAAAAACAUCGCCUCUUGACCAAUUAUAAGAGGUCCAGCCUGCCCAGUGACUCUGUUCAACGGCCGCGGUAUCCUAACCGUGCGAAGGUAGCGUAAUCACUUGUUCUUUAAAUGAGGACUAGUAUGAAUGGCACCACGAAGGUUAUACUGUCUCCUUUCUUUAAUCAGUGAAACUAAUCUCCCCGUGAAGAAGCGGGGAUAAAUAUAUAAGACGAGAAGACCCUAUGGAGCUUUAAACAAGUAACAACUGCCUUAUUAAUCUCUUAAUCUCAGGAGAUUUACCCCUUAUUCAGGCAUUUUGAUUACAAGUUUUAGGUUGGGGUGACCGCGGAGCAUAAAAUAACCUCCACAGUGAACGGGACUCAUUCCCUAAACCAAGGGCUACAACCCUAAGCAUCAAUAAAUUGACACCUAUUGACCCAAUAUUUUGAUCAAUGAACCAAGUUACCCUAGGGAUAACAGCGCAAUCCACUUCAAGAGCCCCUAUCGACAAGUGGGUUUACGACCUCGAUGUUGGAUCAGGAU